This is a long non-coding RNA of Stegodyphus dumicola, 485 nucleotides long. The record is from RefSeq and is a predicted model, not a curated record. Lineage: Eukaryota; Metazoa; Arthropoda; Arachnida; Araneae; Eresidae.
UUAUAUCCCAGCAAGUGGGUUGACUGCAUGAACAUUUUUGUGGAUAUGUUCGCACAUAACAUGGAUAUAAACUAAUUUCUCUUAUAAAGACUUCCCUUCCUUCCAGUAGAUAGCCCUCAUGGGUUUUGCCGUAAUCAAGAUGAUGUAAGGAAAAGACCACCAGUAAUAAUCAUUGUGCUACUAGAUCCAGAUUAUGAAUCUACGAUAGAUCCGCACUGGGUAAAUCUUGAUAGAAUAGUUUCUUCAGUACAACUCAAAGCCCCAGAAUUUAGAAGGAAGAGCUUUGUUACAAAAAAGAUGCUCUAAGUUCUCGUACUUAACUAUUUUUAACUGCAUGACUAGUACUGAAAACUAUUAUCACAUAGGUAAGGAUUUUUAUUUUGAAAGACCUUUUUGUAAAAUGAUGAAAUUCUAUGAAAAUAUAUAGAAGCAAUUAAUGUAAGACUGCACAUGAGAAUGCACAUCAAUAAAAUUAUUUUACCAAA